This 399-nucleotide ribosomal RNA is filed under the name Bifidobacterium breve. Its description in RNAcentral is "bacterial SSU rRNA". It matches the Rfam family "Bacterial small subunit ribosomal RNA", at positions 97 to 506 of the family's 1533-position model. The record is from RNAcentral. Lineage: Bacteria; Bacillati; Actinomycetota; Actinomycetes; Bifidobacteriales; Bifidobacteriaceae.
UGCGAACGGGUGAGUAAUGCGUGACCGACCUGCCCCAUGCACCGGAAUAGCUCCUGGAAACGGGUGGUAAUGCCGGAUGCUCCAUCACACCGCAUGGUGUGUUGGGAAAGCCUUUGCGGCAUGGGAUGGGGUCGCGUCCUAUCAGCUUGAUGGCGGGGUAACGGCCCACCAUGGCUUCGACGGGUAGCCGGCCUGAGAGGGCGACCGGCCACAUUGGGACUGAGAUACGGCCCAGACUCCUACGGGAGGCAGCAGUGGGGAAUAUUGCACAAUGGGCGCAAGCCUGAUGCAGCGACGCCGCGUGAGGGAUGGAGGCCUUCGGGUUGUAAACCUCUUUUGUUAGGGAGCAAGGCAUUUUGUGUUGAGUGUACCUUUCGAAUAAGCACCGGCUAACUACGU